GUGGGGAAUAUUGCGCAAUGGGGGAAACCCUGACGCAGCGACGCCGUGUGAGGGAAGAAGGCUUUCGGGUCGUAAACCUCUGUCAGAAAGGAAGAACCUCCCAAGUCCGAAUAGGGCUUGGGACUGACGGUACUUUCAAAGGAAGCACCGGCUAACUCCGUGCCAGCAGCCGCGGUAAUACGGAGGGUGCAAGCGUUAAUCGGAAUCAAUGGGCGUAAAGCGCGCGUAGGCCGCUUUGUAAGUCGGACGUGAAAGCCCUCGGCUCAACCGGGGAACUGCGUUCGAUACUGCGAGGCUUGAGUCCUGGAGAGGGUGGCGGAAUUCCGGGUGUAGGAGUGAAAUCCGUAGAUAUCCGGAGGAACACCGGUGGCGAAGGCGGCCACCUGGACAGGUACUGACGCUGAGGCGCGAAAGCGUGGGGAGCAAACAGGAUUAGAAACCCGAGUAGUCC
This 451-nucleotide ribosomal RNA is filed under the name uncultured bacterium. RNAcentral's name for it is "partial 16S ribosomal RNA". It matches the Rfam family "Bacterial small subunit ribosomal RNA", at positions 354 to 796 of the family's 1533-position model. The record is from RNAcentral.